Peromyscus maniculatus bairdii (prairie deer mouse) is the source of this 1028-nucleotide non-coding RNA. The record is from RefSeq and is a predicted model, not a curated record. NCBI's taxonomy places the organism in Eukaryota, Metazoa, Chordata, Mammalia, Rodentia, Cricetidae.
AGGGAUCAGGAUGAGGACAUCUUUUGGAGGGACAUUCUUCUGACGAUCCACCUAUCUAUGAUUUUAACUGCUGGCUGGAAUGUUUUAAAGAGAGCUGUUCUGUAACGCUUUUCCUCAGCAGAUGAUGGGGGAAGUCACUGAAAUAAUACAAACUGGAGGAAGAGUAGAACUAUAAGUUGAAAAGAAGAGUUUGCUUCUUCAAGUAUGAACAUGAGAUGCUUAUUCUUCUCAGUUGCUGAAACAGGUAGCUGUGAAGUCAUGGAGUUUCAAGGGGGAUAUCUACAUUGGAGUUUUAGUCUUGGGUCUCAUCAGCAGACAGAUGGUGUUUGAGGUCUUCAACUCAAGAGAACAGACAGAAAAAGAGAGGAGGACCAAGUCUGAAGUCACAGUAACACUUUGAAAUUGGGCAGAGGUAUCAGAGAUGGAAGCAAAGAGAUGCUUAUGUCACAGAAGUCAAUAGAACUGUUUCUGAAAGAAAAUUGGCCAAUGAUUUCAGCAGCUGAUUAAAAAUAGAGUUGCAUUUUACUUCUUGGAAGGAGGUCAUUGUGGGCCUUGAAAAUAGCCACAGUUGUGGAGAUAAUAAUCCAGUUAGUGCAUCAUAAAGAAAAUGCUGUGGGCAUUCACCCUCAGAGUGUUGCACACAUUGAUCAAUAAAGAAGAUAAAGGACAAGUGUAAUCCAAUACAGCUCAAAAACUUGUGCUGGAGAGAAGUAUUAUGGUUUGAAUCUGAAAUGUCACCUACAGGCUCACAUUGGGAACACUUGAUUCUCAGCCUGUGGUGCUAUUUUGAGGGUGGCGGGGGCAUUUAGUGGUAGGGCCUGGCUAGUGAACGUAGCUCAUGGGGUGUGAGGCAGGGAGGUUGAAGGUUGUAUCAGCUUCUGGUGUCAUCAUGCUUUCUGCUUGCUACUCUGCUCCAUGGGAAGGCUUGCUGCUGGAAGCUCCCACGGCCAUGGAGAAGCUGGUUCUACCACCAAGUCUUCCCCACUGUGAUGGAUGGAGAAUCUCAGGAUCCAUGUGCCAAAGUAAAU